GCGUAAAGAGCUCGUAGGCGGUUUGUCGCGUCUGCCGUGAAAGUCCGGGGCUCAACUCCGGAUCUGCGGUGGGUACGGGCAGACUAGAGUGAUGUAGGGGAGACUGGAAUUCCUGGUGUAGCGGUGAAAUGCGCAGAUAUCAGGAGGAACACCGAUGGCGAAGGCAGGUCUCUGGGCAUUAACUGACGCUGAGGAGCGAAAGCAUGGGGAGCGAACAGGAUUAGAUACCCUGGUAGUCCAUGCCGUAAACGUUGGGCACUAGGUGUGGGGGACAUUCCACGUUUUCCGCGCCGUAGCUAACGCAUUAAGUGCCCCGCCUGGGGAGUACGGCCGCAAGGCUAAAACUCAAAGGAAUUGACGGGGGCCCGCACAAGCGGCGGAGCAUGCGGAUUAAUUCGAUGCAACGCGAAGAACCUUACCAAGGCUUGACAUGGACUGGAAACAUCUGGAAACAGGUGCCCCGCUUGCGGCCGGUUCACAGGUGGUGCAUGGUUGUCGUCAGCUCGUGUCGUGAGAUGUUGGGUUAAGUCCCGCAACGAGCGCAACCCUCGUUCCAUGUUGCCAGCGCGUAAUGGCGGGGACUCAUGGGAGACUGCCGGGGUCAACUCGGAGGAAGGUGGGGACGACGUCAAAUCAUCAUGCCCCUUAUGUCUUGGGCUUCACGCAUGCUACAAUGGCCGGUACAAAGGGUUGCGAUACUGUGAGGUGGAGCUAAUCCCAAAAAGCCGGUCUCAGUUCGGAUUGGGGUCUGCAACUCGACCCCAUGAAGUCGGAGUCGCUAGUAAUCGCAGAUCAGCAACGCUGCGGUGAAUACGUUCCCGGGCCUUGUACACACCGCCCGUCAAGUCACGAAAGUUGGUAACACCCGAAGCCGGUGGCCUAACCCCUUGUGGGAGGGAGCUGUCGAAGGUGA
RNAcentral lists this ribosomal RNA (913 nucleotides) under Arthrobacter sp. 10-2. Its description in RNAcentral is "bacterial SSU rRNA". It matches the Rfam family "Bacterial small subunit ribosomal RNA", at positions 558 to 1465 of the family's 1533-position model. Lineage: Bacteria; Bacillati; Actinomycetota; Actinomycetes; Micrococcales; Micrococcaceae. The record is from RNAcentral.